RNAcentral lists this ribosomal RNA (492 nucleotides) under uncultured bacterium. RNAcentral's name for it is "partial 16S ribosomal RNA". It matches the Rfam family "Bacterial small subunit ribosomal RNA", at positions 30 to 507 of the family's 1533-position model. The record is from RNAcentral.
AGUGAACGCUGGCGGUAGGCCUAACACAUGCAAGUCGAACGGCAGCACAGUAAGAGCUUGCUCUUACGGGUGGCGAGUGGCGGACGGGAGAGGAAUACAUCGGACUCUACUUUUUCGUGGGGGAUAACGUAGGGAAACUUAAGCUAAUACCGCAUCCGACCUACGGGUGAAAGCAGGGGAUCUUCGGACCUUGCGCGAUUGAAUGAGCCGAUGUCGGGUUAGCUAGUUGGCGGGGUAAAGGCCCAGCAAGGGGGCGAUCGGUAGCUGGUCUGAGAGGAUGGUCGGCCGCACUGGAACGGGGACACGGUCCAUACGCCUACGGGAGGGAGCAGUGGGGAAUAGGGGACAAUGGGCGCAAGUCUGAUCCAGCCAGACCGCGUGGGUGGAGAAGGCGUUCGGGUUGUAAAGCCCUUUUGUGGGGAAAGAAAAGCAGCAGGUUAAUACCCCGCUGGUCUGACGGUACCCAGAGAAGAAGCACCGGCUAACUUCGUG